GAAGCGGCAACAGCUCAAAUUUGAAAUCUGACCCUUUGGGGUCCGAGUUGUAAUUUGCAGAGGGUGUUUCGGGCACGGUGUCGGUUUAAGUCCUUUGGAACAGGGUGUCAUAGAGGGUGAGAACCCCGUAUGUGACCGGUCGCCAAACCCAUGUGAAACCCCUUCGACGAGUCGAGUUGUUUGGGAAUGCAGCUCAAAAUGGGUGGUAAAUUUCAUCUAAAGCUAAAUAUUGGCCAGAGACCGAUAGCGCACAAGUAGAGUGAUCGAAAGAUGAAAAGCACUUUGGAAAGAGAGUCAAACAGCACGUGAAAUUGUUGAAAGGGAAGCGCUUGCGACCAGAUCUGCUCGCGGGUGAUCAGCGGUGCUUUUCGCGCCGUGCACUCGUCCGCGAUCAGGCCAGCAUCGGUUCAGGCGGCCGGAUAAAGACUCGGAGAAUGUAGCUCCCUCCGGGGAGUGUUAUAGCUCCUUGUGCAAUACGGCCAGCCGGGACCGAGGACCGCGCU
RNAcentral lists this ribosomal RNA (503 nucleotides) under Psora decipiens. RNAcentral describes it as "LSU rRNA". It matches the Rfam family "Eukaryotic large subunit ribosomal RNA", at positions 95 to 601 of the family's 3401-position model. Lineage: Eukaryota; Fungi; Ascomycota; Lecanoromycetes; Lecanorales; Psoraceae. The record is from RNAcentral.